UACGUUCCCGGGCCUUGUACACACCGCCCGUCACACCAUGGGAGUGGGUUGUACCAGAAGUAGGUAGUUUAACCGUAAGGGGAACGCUUACCACGGUAUGGUUCAUGACUGGGGUGA
RNAcentral lists this ribosomal RNA (117 nucleotides) under uncultured bacterium. Its description in RNAcentral is "partial 16S ribosomal RNA". It matches the Rfam family "Bacterial small subunit ribosomal RNA", at positions 1367 to 1483 of the family's 1533-position model. The record is from RNAcentral.